AGCCAAGGAUGACUUGCCUGU
Molecule: non-coding RNA, 21 nt
Filed under: Arabidopsis thaliana (thale cress)
Lineage: Eukaryota; Viridiplantae; Streptophyta; Magnoliopsida; Brassicales; Brassicaceae
Source: RNAcentral